Molecule: ribosomal RNA, 253 nt
Filed under: uncultured bacterium
Lineage: Bacteria
Description: partial 16S ribosomal RNA
Rfam family: Bacterial small subunit ribosomal RNA
Source: RNAcentral
UACGUAGGGGGCAAGCGUUGUCCGGAAUCAUUGGGCGUAAAGCGCGUGUAGGCGGACUGGAAGGUCUGGUGUGAAAGCCCGGGGCUCAACCCCGGAGGGUCACUGGAAACCGACAGUCUUGAGUCCGGAAGAGGAGAGUGGAAUUCCUGGUGUAGCGGUGAAAUGCGUAGAGAUUAGGAAGAACACCAGUGGCGAAGGCGACUUACUGGACUGUAACUGACGCUGAGGCAUGAAAGCGUGGGGAGCAAACAGG